GUGGGGAAUAUUGGACAAUGGGCGCAAGCCUGAUCCAGCCAUGCCGCGUGAGUGAUGAAGGCCCUAGGGUUGUAAAGCUCUUUCACCGGUGAAGAUAAUGACGGUAACCGGAGAAGAAGCCCCGGCUAACUUCGUGCCAGCAGCCGCGGUAAUACGAAGGGGGCUAGCGUUGUUCGGAAUUACUGGGCGUAAAGCGCACGUAGGCGGACAUUUAAGUCAGGGGUGAAAUCCCAGAGCUCAACUCUGGAACUGCCUUUGAUACUGGGUGUCUUGAGUAUGGAAGUGGUAAGUGGAAUUCCGAGUGUAGAGGUGAAAUUCGUAGAUAUUCGGAGGAACACCAGUGGCGAAGGCGGCUUACUGGUCCAUUACUGACGCUGAGGUGCGAAAGCGUGGGGAGCAAACAGGAUUAGAUACCCUAGUAGUCC
RNAcentral lists this ribosomal RNA (425 nucleotides) under uncultured bacterium. RNAcentral describes it as "partial 16S ribosomal RNA". It matches the Rfam family "Bacterial small subunit ribosomal RNA", at positions 354 to 796 of the family's 1533-position model. The record is from RNAcentral.